This 83-nucleotide transfer RNA is filed under the name Janthinobacterium lividum. RNAcentral's name for it is "tRNA-seC(tca)". Lineage: Bacteria; Pseudomonadati; Pseudomonadota; Betaproteobacteria; Burkholderiales; Oxalobacteraceae. The record is from RNAcentral.
CGAGCGCCUAGUCGAUGGCGCCCGCCUUUUUCAAAAAGGUGCGCAGGAUGUUGCGGCUCAGGUUCAAAUGCCUGGCCGUGCGU